AAACCGCAAACCUGUACCUACUGAAACCAACAUACACAGUAAGGAUCCGAAUGGCUAGGAACCAAGAGAAUGUGCAGUCAAACUCAAUAGCCUUACUGCGAAUAGUCAAUGACACCGUAGGUCAAAGGACCACUCACACCAUUGCAGUAUCGAGAAGACCACCAAUGAGUGAGUAGACAUCCAUGUAGUUUUUCAUGUUGGUCAUGCUUAGUACAAGUUAUUCUCUAAC
RNAcentral lists this long non-coding RNA (229 nucleotides) under Elaeis guineensis (African oil palm). RNAcentral's name for it is "long non-coding RNA (EGUI_LNC071600)". The record is from RNAcentral. Lineage: Eukaryota; Viridiplantae; Streptophyta; Magnoliopsida; Arecales; Arecaceae.